GCGUUAACGAACGAGACCUUCCCCUGCUAAAUAGCCAGGCUGGCUUUGGCCGGUCGCAGGCUUCUUAGAGGGACAGUCGGCUCAAGCCGAUGGAAGUUGGAGGCAAUAACAGGUCUGUGAUGCCCUUAGAUGUUCUGGGCCGCACGCGCGCUACACUGACGGAGCCAACGAGUUCACCACCUUGGCCGAGAGGCCUGGGUAAUCUUGUUAAACUCCGUCGUGCUGGGGAUAGAGCAUUGCAAUUAUCGCUCUUCAACGAGGAAUGCCUAGUAAGCGCAUGUCAUCAGCAUGCGUUGAUUACGUCCCUGCCCUUUGUACACACCGCCCGUCGCUAGUACCGAUUGAAUGGAUAC
RNAcentral lists this ribosomal RNA (353 nucleotides) under Eukaryota sp. RNAcentral describes it as "SSU rRNA". It matches the Rfam family "Eukaryotic small subunit ribosomal RNA", at positions 1325 to 1700 of the family's 1831-position model. The record is from RNAcentral.